Molecule: non-coding RNA, 66 nt
Filed under: Enterococcus thailandicus
Lineage: Bacteria; Bacillati; Bacillota; Bacilli; Lactobacillales; Enterococcaceae
Description: Fluoride sequence
Rfam family: Fluoride riboswitch aptamer (crcB RNA motif)
Source: Rfam by way of RNAcentral
UUAUGUGUGAGGGAUGGUGCUCCCUCCUAAACGCUGAGUAAAUCAGCUGAUGGCGCCUAUUGUAAA